Molecule: small nucleolar RNA, 107 nt
Organism: Macrobrachium nipponense
Lineage: Eukaryota; Metazoa; Arthropoda; Malacostraca; Decapoda; Palaemonidae
Source: RefSeq, a predicted model, not a curated record
AUCUGGUUACCCCAGGAUAAGUAAUCUCCUGGGGGGAUGAAUCUUAUAAUGUGAGUUUCGUAAUGCAAUUAUGGUUUUGGUAAAAUUAUUAAUUCCCCUCAGAAAUU